GAUGAACGCUAGCUACAGGCUUAACACAUGCAAGUCGAGGGGUAACGAGAGGAAAGCUUGCUUUCCUUGUUGACGACCGGCGCACGGGUGAGUAACGCGUAUCCAACCUGCCCCCAACUAGGGAAUAACCUUGCGAAAGUAAGACUAAUACCCUAUAAUUUCCUCAGAUGUCAUCUGACGAGGAAUAAAGAUUUAUCGGUUGUGGAUGGGGAUGCGUCUGAUUAGCUUGUUGGCGGGGUAACGGCCCACCAAGGCAACGAUCAGUAGGGGGUCUGAGAGGAAGGUCCCCCACAUUGGAACUGAGACACGGUCCAAACUCCUACGGGAGGCAGCAGUGAGGAAUAUUGGUCAAUGGGCGGAAGCCUGAACCAGCCAAGUAGCGUGCAGGAUGACGGCCCUAUGGGUUGUAAACUGCUUUUAUACAGGAAUAAAGUUAGCCACGUGUGGUUAUUUGUAGGUACUGUAUGAAUAAGGACCGGCUAAUUCCGUGCCAGCCGCCGCUGUAA
Molecule: ribosomal RNA, 506 nt
Filed under: uncultured bacterium
Lineage: Bacteria
Description: partial 16S ribosomal RNA
Rfam family: Bacterial small subunit ribosomal RNA
Source: RNAcentral